RNAcentral lists this ribosomal RNA (467 nucleotides) under uncultured bacterium. RNAcentral describes it as "bacterial SSU rRNA". It matches the Rfam family "Bacterial small subunit ribosomal RNA", at positions 330 to 793 of the family's 1533-position model. The record is from RNAcentral.
UCCAGACUCCUACGGGAGGCAGCAGUGAGGAAUAUUGGUCAAUGGGCUUACGCCUGAACCAGCCAAGUCGCGUGAGGGAAGACUGCCCUAUGGGUUGUAAACCUCUUUUGUCAGGGAGCAACGCCGGCUACGUGUAGCCGGACUGAGAGUACCUGAAGAAAAAGCAUCGGCUAACUCCGUGCCAGCAGCCGCGGUAAUACGUAUGGUGCAAGCGUUAUCCGGAUUUACUGGGUGUAAAGGGAGCGCAGGCGGCGCGUUAAGCCUGGUAUGAAAGCCCGCGGCCCAACCGCGGGACUGCAUUGGGAACUGGCGCGCUGGAGUGCCGGGGGGGUAGGCGGAAUUCCUAGUGUAGCGGUGAAAUGCGUAGACAUUAGGAGGAACACCAGUGGCGAAGGCGGCCUACUGGACGGUGACUGACGCUGAGGCUCGAAAGCGUGGGGAGCAAACAGGAUUAGAUACCCUUGUAC